Larimichthys crocea (large yellow croaker) is the source of this 1116-nucleotide long non-coding RNA. RefSeq lists it as uncharacterized. The record is from RefSeq and is a predicted model, not a curated record. NCBI's taxonomy places the organism in Eukaryota, Metazoa, Chordata, Actinopteri, Sciaenidae. The transcript is spliced from 3 exons.
UCUGUGUGUGUGUCUGUGUGUGUGUGUGUGUAUGUGUGUGUCUAUGUGUGUGUGUGUGUGUGUAUGUGUGUGUGUGUGUGUUAAUCCACACAGCUGUGCUCAGUUAAUUCAUUGAUCUGUUCUGCUUACCUGUAUCUGUUCCCGUAGCAACAGGGAGGGAAGGAGGGGUAACAUGACAUCAUCGGGGUCGUCACUAAUUAAAGGGCGAGCGGCUUUUUCCGUCAUUAUUAGCGUGUUAGCUUCAGCAUCAUUAGUGUGAUUGACCAGGUGUGUUUUCUCAAUGACCCAAUCCUCUGUCCUGAACCGAGGUUCUGACCGCCAAGUGGAGGGACGGGUCAAAGGUCGAUCCGUCCCAGAGGGGGGGCGCUGACUACGGGACACGACUCUCAGGUCGCCUGGGCAACGGCAACACAAAGAAGGAAAGAAAAGAUCACGAGAGACGAAGACACAAAACUUCACAAGACAAACUGGACCAGACCGGGUCAGAACCGGACCUGAGGAAGACUGCAGGUCCACGAGUCAGUCCAUCAGUCUGUCAUGUGUUUGUAGCUGCUGUUAGCUAAUGUUGGCUCAGGUUGUUAGCAGUGGUGGACGUCACAGAGACUACGUCCAGGUUUUAGACAGUCUGCGGGGACGUCACAGAGACUACGUCCAGGUUUUAGACAGUCUGUGGGGUCGUCACGGAGACUACGUCCAGGUUUUAGACAGUCUGGUGACGGUCUUAGUCCCGCCCCUGGUGCUUCGAUUGGCUCACUCAGCUGUCAGUGUGAUUGGCUCAUUAACAGGUAACGGACACGUCCAGUGGAAAAGAGGGAUGGGACUACAGGAAGUGAUGUCACAGGAGGAGCAGAGGCUGCUGAUUGGACGAGAGACUCUCAGACAGCUGCUAUAAAACCUGAUGAGAAGACGGAGAAACAGACAGACUGCAGACAGAGCUACAACUCCAAGUGUUGGACAGGUGAAGAUGCGUUCAAGGUGCAUUUUACCUGUCAGAAAAUCAGAAACUCUUCAUGAUUACACUGUGGAUGAUGCAUUCAGGUGUCUGAACAUGCUGCUGGAAACUCAAGGUCCCCAGCAGCAGCUGAUCUCACUGCCUAGUCCAGCAGCAGUCAGCCC